UGGGGAUGCAGCUCUGUUGGAAU
This 23-nucleotide microRNA is filed under the name Scyliorhinus torazame (cloudy catshark). RNAcentral describes it as "Sto-Mir-139_3p* (star (passenger))". The record is from RNAcentral. Lineage: Eukaryota; Metazoa; Chordata; Chondrichthyes; Carcharhiniformes; Scyliorhinidae.